Molecule: ribosomal RNA, 664 nt
Filed under: uncultured prokaryote
Description: bacterial SSU rRNA
Rfam family: Bacterial small subunit ribosomal RNA
Source: RNAcentral
GAUGAACGCUGACAGAAUGCUUAACACAUGCAAGUCGAUUCGAUUUACCUUCGGGUAUUGAGGAUGGCGGACGGGUGAGUAACGCGUAAGGAACUUGCCUCUUGGUCUGGGACAACUGUUGGAAACGACAGCUAAUACCGGAUAUUAUGAGAUUCUCGCAUGGGAAACUUAUGAAAGCUAUAUGCGCCAAGAGAGAGCCUUGCGUUCCAUUAGCUAGUUGGUGGGGUAACGGCCCACCAAGGCGACGAUGGAUAGCCGGCCUGAGAGGGUGAACGGCCACAAGGGGACUGAGACACGGCCCUUACUCCUACGGGAGGCAGCAGUGGGGAAUAUUGGACAAUGGGCCACAAGCCUGAUCCAGCAAUUCUGUGUGCACGAUGAAGGUCUUCGGAUUGUAAAGUGCUUUCAGUUGGGAAGAAGAAAGUGACGGUACCAACAGAAGAAGCGACGGCUAAAUACGUGCCAGCAGCCGCGGUAAUACGUAUGUCGCAAGCGUUAUCCGGAUUUAUUGGGCGUAAAGCGCGUCUAGGCGGAAAAAUAAGUCUGAUGUUAAAAUGCGGGGCUCAACUCCGUAUUGCGUUGGAAACUGUUUUUCUAGAGUACUGGAGAGGUGGGCGGAACUACAAGUGUAGAGGUGAAAUUCGUAGAUAUUUGUAGGAAUGNC